UACGGAGGGUGCAAGCGUUAUCCGGAUUCACUGGGUUUAAAGGGUGCGUAGGUGGGCAGGUAAGUCAGUGGUGAAAUCUCCGGGCUUAACCCGGAAACUGCCAUUGAUACUAUCUGUCUUGAAUACCGUGGAGGUGAGCGGAAUAUGUCAUGUAGCGGUGAAAUGCUUAGAUAUGACAUAGAACACCAAUUGCGAAGGCAGCUCACUACGCGAAUAUUGACACUGAGGCACGAAAGCGUGGGGGAUCAAACAGGAGUUAGAAAACCCGGAGU
This 272-nucleotide ribosomal RNA is filed under the name uncultured bacterium. RNAcentral describes it as "partial 16S ribosomal RNA". It matches the Rfam family "Bacterial small subunit ribosomal RNA", at positions 524 to 794 of the family's 1533-position model. The record is from RNAcentral.